Non-coding RNA from Vicia faba (fava bean), 237 nucleotides. The record is from the annotation of a GenBank genome assembly. Lineage: Eukaryota; Viridiplantae; Streptophyta; Magnoliopsida; Fabales; Fabaceae.
AUGUUCUUCCUCUUUCGGCAAUCACGAACGGUGCUCUCAUGUGAUCUCUUCCUUCUUCAUACUUCCAUCUCCGCCAUGACAACCUUCCCUCCGCCGCGAUCUCACUAUUUCGAACCUCUGCCUUCUCCUUCUCCUAUAAAAAACGUUUCCUCAAAAACCACCGGAGUACCACCGUCGGCCCUUCAAUCGCGAGGACGACGACGAGAAAACAACGAACAAGCCUUUUCCAGAACUCAG